AUGAUGUUCUUCGAGUUGAUG
Molecule: non-coding RNA, 21 nt
Filed under: Arabidopsis thaliana (thale cress)
Lineage: Eukaryota; Viridiplantae; Streptophyta; Magnoliopsida; Brassicales; Brassicaceae
Source: RNAcentral